Molecule: ribosomal RNA, 773 nt
Filed under: Henosepilachna connectens
Lineage: Eukaryota; Metazoa; Arthropoda; Insecta; Coleoptera; Coccinellidae
Description: partial 16S ribosomal RNA
Rfam family: Archaeal large subunit ribosomal RNA (bases 1-575)
Source: RNAcentral
CUCUUUUUGAAAAUAAUUUAAAGUAGGGCCUGCCCACUGAAUUUUGAAGGGCCGCAGUAUUUUGACUGUGCAAAGGUAGCAUAAUCAUUAGUUUUUUAAUUGAAAGCUUGUAUGAAUGGUUUGAUGAAAAAAUUUCUGUUUCAAUUUUAAUUUUUAGAAUUUUAUUUUUAAGUUAAAAAGCUUAAAUUUUAUUUAAAGACGAGAAGACCCUAUAGAGUUUAACUAAAAAUAAAAUUGAAAAUUUUAGAAUUUAAUGUUUUUAUUUUUAUUAAAGUUUUGUUGGGGUGACAGAAAAAUUAAAUUAACUUUUUUUAUAUUAUACCAAAAAUUAUUGAAUAAUUGAUCCAUAAAAAUGAUUAAAAGAUCAAAUUACCUUAGGGAUAACAGCGUAAUUUUUUUCAAGAGUUCUUAUUUAAAGAAAAGAUUGCGACCUCGAUGUUGGAUUAAAAUUUAUUUUUGGUGAAGAAGCUAAAAUAUUGGGUCUGUUCGACCUUUAAAAUUUUACAUGAUCUGAGUUUAAACCGGUGUAAGCCAGGUUGGUUUCUAUCUUAAAUUAAGCAAAAUAUUUUAGUACGAAAGGAUCAAAUAUUUUAUUAAUAAUAUAAAUUAAAGAAUUUUAUUUUGGCAGAAUAGUGCGUUGGAUUUAGAAUCUUUUUAUGUAAUUUAUUACAAAUAAAAAUUGACUUAGUUUUAAUUUUAAUUAAUUUUAUUUUAUUAUUUAUUGGGGUAUUAGUAGGAGUAGCUUUUUUGACUUUAUUAGAACGUAAAUUAUU